Molecule: ribosomal RNA, 382 nt
Filed under: uncultured bacterium
Lineage: Bacteria
Description: bacterial SSU rRNA
Rfam family: Bacterial small subunit ribosomal RNA
Source: RNAcentral
AUUGAACGCUGGCGGCAUGCCUUACACAUGCAAGUCGAACGGUAACAGGUUAAGCUGACGAGUGGCGAACGGGUGAGUAAUGUAUCGGAACGUGCCCAGUCGUGGGGGAUAACUGCUCGAAAGAGCAGCUAAUACCGCAUACGACCUGAGGGUGAAAGCGGGGGAUCGCAGGACCUCGCGCGAUUGGAGCGGCCGAUAUCAGAUUAGGUAGUUGGUGGGGUAAAGGCCUACCAAGCCUACGAUCUGUAGCUGGUCUGAGAGGACGACCAGCCACACUGGGACUGAGACACGGCCCAGACUCCUACGGGAGGCAGCAGUGGGGAAUUUUGGACAAUGGACGCAAGUCUGAUCCAGCCAUGCCGCGUGCGGGAAGAAGGCCUUC